AGAGUUUGAUCCUGGCUCAGAACGAACGCUGGCGGCAGGCUUAACACAUGCAAGUCGAACGCACCUUCGGGUGAGUGGCAGACGGGUGAGUAACGCGUGGGAACGUGCCCUUCAGUUCGGAAUAACCCAGGGAAACUUGGGCUAAUACCGGAUACGUGCGAGAGCAGAAAGAUUUAUCGCUGAAGGAUCGGCCCGCGUCUGAUUAGCUAGUUGGUGGGGUAAUGGCCCACCAAGGCGACGAUCAGUAGCUGGUCUGAGAGGAUGAUCAGCCACAUUGGGACUGAGACACGGCCCAAACUCCUACGGGAGGCAGCAGUGGGGAAUAUUGGACAAUGGGCGCAAGCCUGAUCCAGCCAUGCCGCGUGAGUGAUGAAGGCCUUAGGGUUGUAAAGCUCUUUCGGCGGGGACGAUAAUGACGGUACCCGCAGAAGAAGCCCCGGCUAACUUCGUGCCAGCAGCCGCGGUAAUACGAAGGGGGCUAGCGUUGUUCGGAAUCACUGGGCGUAAAGGGCGCGUAGGCGGCUUGAUAAGUCGGGGGUGAAAGCCUGUGGCUCAACCACAGAAUUGCCUUCGAUACUGUCUGGCUUGAGACCGGAAGAGGUAAGUGGAACUGCGAGUGCAGAGGUGAAAUUCGUAGAUAUUCGCAAGAACACCAGUGGCGAAGGCGGCUUACUGGUCCGGUUCUGACGCUGAGGCGCGAAAGCGUGGGGAGCGAACAGGAUUAGAUACCCUAGUAGUCC
This 740-nucleotide ribosomal RNA is filed under the name uncultured bacterium. RNAcentral describes it as "bacterial SSU rRNA". It matches the Rfam family "Bacterial small subunit ribosomal RNA", at positions 8 to 796 of the family's 1533-position model. The record is from RNAcentral.